Molecule: unclassified non-coding RNA, 25 nt
Filed under: Mus musculus (house mouse)
Lineage: Eukaryota; Metazoa; Chordata; Mammalia; Rodentia; Muridae
Description: oocyte_clustered_small_RNA6176
Source: RNAcentral
UCAGCUGGAGUAGGCAGCUGGUCUC